CAUGCAGUCGAGCGGACUUUAAAAGCUUGCUUUUAAAGUUAGCGGCGGACGGGUGAGUAACACGUGGGCAACCUGCCUGUAAGACUGGGAUAACUUCGGGAAACCGGAGCUAAUACCGGAUAAUUCUUUCUCACCUCAUCAUGGAUGAAAAGCUGAAAGACGGCAUCUCGCUGUCACUUACAGAUGGGCCCGCGGCGCAUUAGCUAGUUGGUGAGGUAACGGCUCACCAAGGCAACGAUGCGUAGCCGACCUGAGAGGGUGAUCGGCCACACUGGGACUGAGACACGGCCCAAACUCCUACGGGAGGCAGCAGUAGGGAAUCUUCCGCAAUGGACGAAAGUCUGACGGAGCAACGCCGCGUGAGUGAUGAAGGUUUUCGGAUCGUAAAGCUCUGUUGUUAGGGAAGAACAAGUACAAGAGUAACUGCUUGUACCUUGACGGUACCUAACCAGAAAGCCACGGCUAACUACGUGCCAGCAGCCGCGGUAAUACGUAGGUGGCAAGCGUUGUCCGGAAUUAUUGGGCGUAAAGCGCGCGCAGGCGGUCCUUUAAGUCUGAUGUGAAAGCCCACGGCUCAACCGUGGAGGGUCAUUGGAAACUGGGGGACUUGAGUGCA
Molecule: ribosomal RNA, 616 nt
Filed under: Bacillus sp. SOK1b
Lineage: Bacteria; Bacillati; Bacillota; Bacilli; Caryophanales; Bacillaceae
Description: bacterial SSU rRNA
Rfam family: Bacterial small subunit ribosomal RNA
Source: RNAcentral